Molecule: ribosomal RNA, 526 nt
Filed under: uncultured Vibrionaceae bacterium
Lineage: Bacteria; Pseudomonadati; Pseudomonadota; Gammaproteobacteria; Vibrionales; Vibrionaceae
Description: bacterial SSU rRNA
Rfam family: Bacterial small subunit ribosomal RNA
Source: RNAcentral
CCUGGGGAGUACGGUCGCAAGAUUAAAACUCAAAUGAAUUGACGGGGGCCCGCACAAGCGGUGGAGCAUGUGGUUUAAUUCGAUGCAACGCGAAGAACCUUACCUACUCUUGACAUCCAGAGAACCUUUUAGAGAUAGAAGGGUGCCUUCGGGAACUCUGAGACAGGUGCUGCAUGGCUGUCGUCAGCUCGUGUUGUGAAAUGUUGGGUUAAGUCCCGCAACGAGCGCAACCCUUAUCCUUGUUUGCCAGCACUUCGGGUGGGAACUCCAGGGAGACUGCCGGUGAUAAACCGGAGGAAGGUGGGGACGACGUCAAGUCAUCAUGGCCCUUACGAGUAGGGCUACACACGUGCUACAAUGGCAUAUACAGAGGGCUGCCAACUCGCGAGAGUGAGCGAAUCCCAUAAAGUAUGUCGUAGUCCGGAUUGGAGUCUGCAACUCGACUCCAUGAAGUCGGAAUCGCUAGUAAUCGUGGAUCAGAAUGCCACGGUGAAUACGUUCCCGGGCCUUGAACACACCGCCCGUC